This 5790-nucleotide long non-coding RNA is filed under the name Callithrix jacchus (white-tufted-ear marmoset). RNAcentral's name for it is "lncRNA (ENSCJAG00000071268.1)". The record is from RNAcentral. Lineage: Eukaryota; Metazoa; Chordata; Mammalia; Primates; Cebidae.
AUAAAGAGAGAAGGGUAAGAGAGGUACUUUACAAAUCAUUAAAAUAUAAAUAUUAUUUCACAUUUAAUCAAGAAAGCGAUGUCUAUGAAAAUCAAAAAUCUUUUUAUUUUUUUCUGAGUCAGGGUCUCACUCUGUCACCCAAGCUGAAGUGCAGUGGCAUGAUCAUAGUUCAUUGAAGCCUCAACCUCCCUUGCUCACGCCAUCCUCCCACCUCAGCUUCCCAAGUAGCUGGGAUAACAGGCUUAGGUCACCAUAGCUGGCUAAUUUUUGUAUUUUUUUAUAGAGACAGUGUUUUGCCCUGAUGCCAAUGCUGGUCUCAAACCACUCACCUAAGGCAGUCCACCCACCUUGACCUCCCAAAAUGCUAGGAUUACAGACAUGAGCCAUACUUGGCCCCUUAUUUUUUAAUGGUUACUUAUAACAAGAAGAGAUUAUUUUCAGUGAAGAUAGGAAUUGGAAGAUUUUGAAAAAUGUGUUUCUAUUGAGCAUUCACUUUUUCAUAGGUGUCAUAUUUCACAAUGAGAAUAGAAACAUAAAAGCCAGAUACUUUCAAUCAUGUAAUAAGUGCUAGAAGAGACUAAAAAAGAUGUAAUUAGUACAUGAUUAAGAAAUACCAGACUGAGCUGAUCAGGGAAGACUUUCCGAAGGAGGUAAAAUCUGAACUACUUUUUGAAUAAAUAUUAAUAGUUGAUCAGCUGAAAAAAGGAAAGGGCAUGUUAGGCAUUAGGAAUAGCAUAUAGAGAGCAUAAAGGAACAUGAAAAAUAUAAAUAUCUUAUACAGAUUAAGUACAUCUGUAAUUUCUAACAGAAAGGCUUAGAGCUCCCAGGAGACAUCAAGCCACAAGAGUAUAAGUGGAAAUGAAGUCCACACAAAGAGAGAGAGAGAGAGAGAAAAAGAAAGAGAAAGUGGAAACGGGUGAUAAGAAUUUCUUACCCUUUUUGCCAGCAUACCAGGUUUCUAGGUUCCCUUUCUUUGCAGCUUCCAGAAAACAUCUUUAUAAAAGAAAAUCACUCUUUUCUGUUUUAUGUAACCAUAGGAAAAAUAUUCUUAAUUUUGCAGGAUUCUGUCCAAUGAGCUGCCUGGAAAACUGAAUUAACAUUUUCCAUCCCAACAAAGUACACCUACCAAAACAGACACUAGUCAUAUCAUUUAGCACCCAAUAUUAACUUGGCAAAUCUCUAACUUUCUCUCAUUGGUCCCUGUUGUCUUCGAUCCACUUCAGGUGGGGAGGGAUGACCUCCGAAUUAUAAUUCAUAAUGGGUGGUCUCUGGGCAAGGUGAAGAGUGGACAGUUACCCUAAGACAGGCUGGUUGAGCUUUCUUCAGGGCUCACUGAAUGUGACCAGACCAGUAAGGUGGGUUCUCUGAGUGAGGGCUGUUGGACUUCCAUCAGCAGCAAUUCUUUCCAAGAUCUCCACAUAUACAAAAAUACACGAAGACAAGAUGAACAAAAGGCCUUCCAAAUCAGAUCUUUAACCAAUAACUCCAAAAGUAUUCCUUCCAAACUAUCCUCUUAUUCUCUGUCUGAGAAAUCUCCUCAAAAUCUUCCUGAUUGAGGAGAAGUCUCCAAAACCAAGACUCUUCAUACUAGUCAGGGAGAGCCAAGACCCCUUAGGAGCCAAACCAAGACAGAUGUUCCACAGUGGGACUAGAGACAAAUUGAGACCCCCAAAGGAGCCAAACCAAGACAGACAUCCUGUGGUGGAGCUACAAACAGAUACCCCAGCAUAGGGCUACAGAGAGAUAAACCACCAUGGGGCUACAAAACCAGUCAGUAGAAGGAAGAAGCCAUUGACAGUGCCUAGAAUCCUCACUAACCCAGAUGCCCCACUAUGGAGCUACAGACAUACCCUGUGUUAGGGCUACAGUGAAGAGAUGUCUCCCCAGGAUUACUUCUCUAUCGCAAUUAAAUCCAUGCAUAUUUGAUCGGUGCCCUGACAAUAAAUAUGGUACCAGAGUGAGCCCUCAGUCCAGGAGAACCAGAUGGCUGCUUGGGCCAACCUCUAGGUCCAUUGCUGGAGGGGGGCUACCAAACUAUGAGUAGGUAGCCACAAGGGCAAUCCUGGAUGAGCCCCCAAAUUUGUAACUGCCCAAUGAGCUCACCUUUCCCACUGCCUAGACUGAAUCGAUUUAUCAAGACAACAGAAUUGCAGUAGAUAAAGAUUAAUUUACACAGAGCUGGCUGCGCAGGAGACUGGAGUUUUAUUAUUAGCCAAAUCAGUCUCCAGAAUAGAUAUUUAAUUAGGAUAAAGAAUGUUGUCUUUUUCCUACAAACUCCCAUUAUGAUCCUUGGAAAUUUAGCAUUCACCUGCUGAUGCAAGUUUUAUUUUUCCUCUUGAGAUUACUUUGAAAAAAAAAUUAUGUUAACUACAUAGAAACAAAAAAAACUGAACUAUGUUUUAGUGAAUGUACACAACUUCCAGAGGUUUUCACAGUUGUUUCAUAAUAGCCUAAUAUUAACCCUGUGAAGUAGGUUAUUUACACUCACAUUUUUCAGCAUAGAAUCCUCAGGCUAAGAAAUAACAAACACAUUACAGUUCACAUUGACAAGUCCUAAGACAUCUGUCCUGGUAAUUUUUUGCUUUUGCCUUGGACUUCCAUGGCUUCAGUUGCUACUUAAAACUACCCCAAAUUUGUAUUUCUAGCCUAGACCUGUAUCUCUUAAACUCAAAAGAAACAUUCUCAAUUGUUAAUAGUCGUGGUCACUGGAAAACCACAGCAGCACCUCAACGUCUAAUCCUUUCUUCUCCAUUCCAGAUCCCAACUUCAUAUUUCAAUAAUUGGCAAUGUCCGACUUCUUCCUUACACUCCUGUACUCAAUCAUGAAAUCCUGUUGUCUCUUAAUCCUAAAUAUUAUUACAUCCAGAUAAUUAUCUCCAUUUCUACUGCUACUACUCUAGUACAUGACACUAAAUCUUUUACUUAAAGUACUAUAAAACAGCUUUUCCUUUCUGCUUCUGGACUUGUUUGCUUAAAGUGCCUUUCUACAAUAUAGGCAGCGGCAGUCUCAAAGUGCCUAUCUGAUCGGGACAUCCUCUCUUUUAAGCCUGUCCAUCAAAUCCUAUAAAUCUUCUUUAGAAAGUAUUUAUAAAGCCUUCCAUCAUUUAUGCCCUGCCUAGAUCUACAGCCUCGCCAAGAUGCCUCUCACACUCUGAAUGCCUGCCCAAUAAAAUGAACUUCUACUCAUUUCUAGAAGUACCCAUACUCGUACAUCUCCAAACAUUCACCCAUUAGGCUUACCUUACGUGGAACAUACCUUUCUGCCUCUCCACAUUUGUUUGCCCAAACUCUAGGGCUAAAUUUCACUCCUCCUACUCAUUGUUCAGUUUUCAUUUAAUCUCUUGUAUUUUCAAAAGUCGUGUAUGACUGCUGAAGUAAGUUAGGCACUUUAAAACUAGUUUGUCUAACUCAUGAAUUUAUUCUUUGACUUAUUUGAGAAAGGGUAUCUAUAAACUCAGUAAAACAAAUGGUUAAGAACAUAAAGUCUGAAGCCAAAGUCUGCAUUUAAUAUAGACUUGGACCCUGUUGGCAGUGCGAAUUUAUAGAAGUCGCUCUACAUCUCUUUAUCUCAGUUUUUCCAUCUUUAAAAAGAGAAAUAUUAUAGUACUUUCUGCAAACAACUUUGGAGGAUUAAUAAAUAUGUCUGUAUAUAAAACUGUGUCCAACAGAGAGUGUGUGACAUGCUGCCCUUUAAAUAGUAUUGCUAUUUGCCAGACACAGUAUGCAGCACUCAGAUGUGAUGACAAGAGAGGCAAGGUUCCCACUCUUGUGGAAUUUAUAAUCUAGCAGAAAAAAAAGAGAUAUCAAAAAAACCCAUAUAAAUGAUAUAAAUACCGACAUGUCAGCUGUGAUGAAAUAAAAGUACAGACUGCAGGAAGUCUGGGAUAGGGCUAUCCAGUGUAGGCAAAAGGUUGGCUUGGAAAGUGACAUUUAUCCUGAGACCUGAAGGUUGCAUGGAAUUCAGUCAAGCAAAGCAGGGAAGAAAAUAGUAACAGAAGAGAAAAGCGGCCCAGAAGGAGAUCCUGUGCUUUGUCUCUCACAGCACUCAUGAUGCUUUAUUUUCAUGACUUUUGUGGUACCAUUGGCCAGCCUCCGCCUGACCCUACACAGAAAAAAAAAAAAAAACUAAAUAAAAUCUGAAAAGUAUGAGCUCAAUAGCUGUAGCUCCCUUACAGCCCUGUUCUAGUCUCGACAGUAAGUGCACAUCCAGCAAAUGGGAAUUAAUUCUUGUUAAAUCCUUGAUAUCCAUCAAUUAAUCAAAGAGUUAUCAAAGGUUUAAUUCAACAGCUCAUUAUUAAACAUUUAGAAGAAUAAAUACCCUUGAAAGAGAAGGUGGAUAUACUUUUCAUAUACUUUGUAUAGGAAAAACUACUAUAUCCUUUUUUUUUUUUAAGAUGAAGUUUCACUCUUGUCAUUUAGGAUGGAGUGCAAUGGUGCAAUUUUGGAUCACUGCAACCUCUCACCUCCUGGAUUCAAGUGAUUCUCCAUCCUCAGCUACCCAAGAAGCUGGAAUUACAGGUGUGUGCCACCAUGCCCACUGAAUUUUUUUCUUUUUCUUUUUUGUUUUAAUUUUUAGUAGAGAUGUGGUUUCACUAUGUUAGCCAGGCUGGUCUCGAACUCCUGACCUCAGGUGAUCUGCCCACCUCAGCCUCCCAAAGUGCUGGAAUUACAGGCAUGAGCCACUGCCCCCAGACUAUUAGGUAAAUUUUAAUGUGGGCAUACAAGCAGCCCAAGAUGGCACUGCCAUGCCUCUGAUGGCUCCAUUUCUUACAGUACCAUUGCUCUCUACCAGUAGCCAUCACAGACUCUCUGAUGCAGGCUCUGGUGUUCUUUCUGGCCACACUAGCAUACAAGUUUAUUUAUAGAUAAGUAUCUAGGCUGGGAAAUGUGCCAACAACUUUCAUUAUCAGCCAAAGAAAAAUUAUCAGCAAAGUCUAAAUUUUAAAUGGAACCAGCUAAAAAAAGAUUCUAAUUGUUGUCUUUGUGCCCCCAAAAAUGAGUAGCUUUGAACCUGAUUCAGCUAAGAUUCUGAGUAAAAGGGUGGGAUCCAAUUUACUCCAAUGCAUAUUAGCAGAUAAUGGUGGGGUUCUAUUUUUGUUCCCUAGAGGCUGUAUGGGCUUAUUUAUAUUCAUCUCUGAAAAAUGAAAAGCAUCUUUGAAAAGACUACAGUUCCUGGAUCAAAAACACUUGGUUCUGGGGGCCCCAAUUUCUUACCAGCAUCGCUUCUCUCAGUGAGAAUAUUCACGAUGUUCUUCAAGCUAGAGGUCAGGUUCGUACAUAUUAAAACUUUUACGGAACUGGGACAAAGAUCCCAACCAGUAGCAACCAUUAAACUCUAUCUUUCAGCAGCUAGAUUAAAAUAAUCAUUUGAAGCUCAGAGACAGUGCUGGUUUGCUUUUGCAUUAGAGGAAAGGAGGAGGAAUAGGAGCAGAUACGAAGAAAAAAAUGCCUACAGUUUUCUUGUAUAAUCUGUAAAUGUGAUUGCAUUGCUAGAAAGAAGAAAAUUAAUUUUUUUCUCAAAGAUUUUUAAGCUCUUUAUCAAGACUAUAAUUCUGAGAUUUGCCCUGAAGAAAAGUGCAGCUGUUUGUUUAAGCAAUGAAGCUUCCAUCUGUUUCAUCUUGAUUUAAAGAUGCAGUUUUUAAAAUAAAACCACAAGGCAAUGUUUAUUGAAAGCACAAAAUCUUUCUACUUAUCACCAAAGUAAAAUAUAGAUUAAAACAACAAGCCUAGAAAGAUAGGAUUUUACACAAUCCAAUGUCACUUCAUUUGCAAAAUUUUCAUUUGAAAUGU